CCUACGGGAGGCAGCAGUGGGGAAUCUUGAACAAUGGGCGAAAGCCUGAUUCAGCGAUAUAGAGUGAAUGAUGACAGCCAUUUGGUUGUAAAGUUCUUUUACCAAGGAAGAUUUUGACAUUACUUGGAGAAAAAGCCCUGGCAAAUUUCGUGCCAGCAGCCGCGGUGAUACGAAAAGGGCUAGUGUUAUUCGGAAUAAUUGGGCGUAAAGGGUGAGUAGGCUGUAAUCAUAGUUAAUUUUUAAAUCUUAGUAGUAAUUACUAAAUCAAUUUUUAAUAACAAGUUACUAGAGUAAAAGAGAGGAUUGUAGAAUUUCAAGUGGAGAAAUAAAAUUCGUAGAUUUUUGAAGGAAUAUCGAAAGCGAAGGCAACAAUCUGGCUUUAUACUGACGCUGAUUCACGAAAGCCUAGGUAGCAACCAGGAUUAGAGACCCUGUUAGUCUAGGCUGUAAACGAUGAGCACUCAUUUUUGGAUAGAAUGUAUUCAGAAAUUUAGCUAACGCGUUAAGUGCUCCGCCUGAGAAGUACAGUGGCAACACUGAAACUCAAAGGAAUUGACGG
Molecule: ribosomal RNA, 559 nt
Filed under: uncultured bacterium
Lineage: Bacteria
Description: bacterial SSU rRNA
Rfam family: Bacterial small subunit ribosomal RNA
Source: RNAcentral